CUGAUGAGAAGCUGUCUAUGCUGCGUUUUCUUUUUGCAUCUGAAAGAGAGAAAGAUAAAAUUAUUUUUCCUAGUACAGAACCUGCAUCGUUCCCACCUGAUAGGAACAGCUAUUGCCUGAUCCGAGAGGCACAGGGUACCACCCAGCUCUUACACGUCAGAGAGUAAACUUCAUUCAGGUGUUUUUAAACAGUUUGGUUAACUUGUAUUCAACUCAAGUCAUCGAGCAACAUUUAAGAAAAGUGUGAUCCAUGCAAAGUUUCAGUCUCCCACCUGUUCCAGGGGAAAGCCAAGAGCAACGGUCAAACUCCUAGAAGAAAGUUUUGGACUGGAUAUAAGGAAAAACUUCACGGUUCGUGUGACGAGACUCUGGGAUAGACUCCCAGCGGGGGUGGUGCAAGCACCAACCUUGGAGAUCUUCAAAAGGAGACUGGACGCACACCUUGCUGGGGUUAUUCGACCCUGGCAAUCCUUCCUGCCCAGAGCAGGGGGGGCUGGACCCGAUGAGCUCACGAGGUCCCUUCCAGCCCAAAACUUCUGUGAAUCUGUUCAAUUCACAGGGGAAAAGCUCACAAGUCACACGUUUGAUAUGCAUUUUAAACUUUCCAGCAAAACCAAACAUAACCAGAUUUAGAUUCUUCCUAUUUCUACGAUAAAAACCAAAACAGGAGGGAGAAAAAAAUGCCUCUUAAAAGUCACCAUCACUCCUUCAAGCUUUCUUUAGGGAUCACAGAAGAGACUGCUUUGCCUAUUUUUUCUUUGGCAGAUCAUUGCCAAUGAAGUUAACAUAGUAAUGGUGGAUUUUGCAAGAUAGCUCUCUUCCAAUAAUCUUGCAGCAUCAUAAAUGCCUCUUCUAACUGUGAGAGGAAGGAGUAAAUAAUGCUAUUUCAGAGAUGGGGAAUCUGAAGCACAAAGACAAGAGGAGAACUGCCCAAUGUAAAAACUGUUACUGUUAUUAACACAGCCUCAAAUGCACACAGGGCAACUUACAGAUAAAUAGAAAGGUGAAGUCUCCAAUUGGCAAAGCUUAUCCUAGCCUGGGCUUUUUCCACUGAAAAUCCCACUCUCACAGAGUCCAGGCGAGUGCCCGUGGUGACAGCAUUUCCAAAAGGUGCUGGAGAAAACUCCAAAGCUCUGAUCUCUUAAGUGCAAUGUUGAUCAGACCAGUUCUUUCACAGAAGAUCACACAGACUAGCACCUUCUUUGCUGCUAAUGCUGGCAGAGUUGAACUGGGGUUAGCAACAAAAGGGAACGUCUAAGAAAAAAUACUCCUGGAGGCAGAGUUAAUUAGAGCUUGCACUAGUGACACAGACUAGCCACAGAAAUCUAGCCACAGGAGGACGAAAGGGGAUGCAGCAAAACACAAGCGAAUGAGCAACUAAGACCAUUUCUCUCCAGUUUUCAUUUGCUUAUUUUCACCGCGCCAAAAACCUGAGUGCGCCCACAGUUUGUCUUCAGUCAAAACUUCUACUGGACCUCCCCACAGAUUUUGCCUGAGAAAGGACAGCAGGAUCUGGCUACACCACAGCAGUAAAACUCCCAGGAAAUACAGAAGCAGAAAGGCCAAAAGGUGCCACUGCAAAUCUCCCUGACAGAAGAGCCAGCACCUUGUCUUGCACAGGUAGUGCCGUCUCCUCGGGAAGCACGAACAGCACUUACCAGGGAGAAGAGAGAAAGAUAAAGGCAGCAGCAGCCAGUUGUCAAAUGGCUACUCUUGGGCUACCCUUGCUUAAUUGCUAACUUCAAAGGGCUUGUGCCAGAAAGGUAUUCUGGGGGAAAAAAAAUCCUUAAAAGGCUUUGUGUACACUGGGAAAAUGAGCUGCAUUAGUUAACACCUGAUAGAAAGGAAUGGGGCAGUUCACACUUAUCAGGGGCUCCUGGGCUAUUGUUUGGUGUCUGCAAAAAUCAGGCCAUGAAUCAUUCUUUCAGUUAUAUUUGGGCCCAUUUUGAAUGCUCUCUUUAAUACCGUAAUGGCUAGAACCUAAUUUUGGAGGGAGUUUUUGUAAAGCUGUGUUGUUUUUUUAAUCCCAGAUUCUGAAGAACAAAACAGCAAUCCCAAAAAAUAAGUACUGGGCCACUUGGAUCAGGCUGGACAUGGCCAGAUUGAGUCCUGGCAAGAGCAAAGCAGUACAUAGGAAACAAUAUGCAUUCUUCUGUUGCAAGAGGAACCCCCAUUCAUAGCCCAUAUCUGGCUCUCUGGCUUGUGAGCAAUAGGUUUCAAGUAAGUAUUUUUAUAUUGGCAUGUUAAGAGAAAUGAUGGCAUCAUUACUGGCACAAAGCACUAAGGACUCCAGAGGAAUCUGAUUGAAUGGAACUUCCCAGAUAAAAAUCACUUAACAUAUUCCACGAUUUCUCUGUCAAUGAGCAGAUCCACUACACUGUCUGUGAAAGGGGGAAAAAAGGCAUAGCACCUUCACCAUCACAGAGGAUGCUUUUCUAUUAUCUACCAGGCUGAAUGUACAGUCAGAGCCCUCCUGUGAAAACAUCUUACAGUGGAAAUAUUAAAAGCUGCAGGAUACAGAGCGAGCAUGUUACCAACUAGCGCCGCAUCUUCUCCCAAUUACUCUUUUUCAGUUCGGUCUCAAGAUUCCUAUCUCACUGAAGGACACAUUUAGGUCAAUUGCAGUUGAAAAUGUCCAGCACGGACUUGAUAAUGAUAAGAAUAAGAAUCCCGAAGGCAUGUCCAUCUCGGAGCGGCACAUGUUCAGAUCUGGUAGGGAACUCAUAUAGAGUGCCCUUUUUGAUUCCAACCAGCAAGACGAAUGCCACAGUUGGAGGGAGACGAAGAAUGAGAUUCAGUGCCUUCUCAGCCGCCUGCAAUUGCUGUAAUGUCACUGCUUCCCCUGAUCUCCUGCCCUCCUAUGGAACAGAUCAGAGAAAUAACAGACUCUUACACGCUAACCAGGUAGGAAAGCUACUGCCUGGAAAGUUAUUCUGUGACUGAGGAACAGGGAAAAAAACAAGGUCUCUUUCUUCCAUCCCAUUUCAAAUGUAGCCAUUGUAUUCCAGGAUCUGUAUGUCCACACAGGAAAUCCUUAUGCUGUAACUGUAGCACCACAAUUAUAACACUAUACCUACACCAGUAAAUUCCUCAGUUUGGAUGAUCUUUCACAUUGGGACUCACCUCUGAAUCUGGGGUUCUUAAUCUCAGCAUACUUACACAUGAUGUAAUAAAACUAGGAAUGCAAUCAUGGGAAGUUUACCCAGUACCACAUUGCAUAGACCGGAACAGAACCAAAGGCAUCUAUUACUGAAAGGGGAGCAAAAUCAGGAAGGCAGCAAAAUCUGGGAGACUCUCAAUGGACCCAUCAUGACAGCAACUGCUGGCCUACCCAAGUGUCAUCUGAAGCAGCAAUCUGUUGAUACCAUCAAUGUCACGUUUUUGGAGCCGUUUACUCUGGAAAAUACCAGAGAGGAAGUUCUGCUUUCUAGACAGCCUUGUCCAAACUCUGGAGAUGGAAUUUUAGGGAAUUAAAAUGUAAUUUCCUAGACUGGAAUCUGCCUAGGACACUGGGAUUAACACCCUUUCUUACAUGAAAAAUACUGUCAGAUGGUUACAUAAACCCAAGUAGUCAUGACUUUCCAAAGAGAACAUCUAAGAACAGCACAGCAAGCUCCACCAUCACAUGGGGCACUGGCUCCCCCCAGAUUCAGUAAAAAGCCCAUGCAGUGAGUUCCAGAAGCCACCCCCUUCAGCAGUCUUGUGUUCUCCUUGGAGAUCCCCCUCCCACUAAAGUCUUAGCCAGGCCUCCCUUCCUCUUCUUAGGUUCUGGAAUCCAACAAGGCUACUUUCUGCAGCAGAAGGGAUUCAGAAAAGUCAAAAAAGCAGCACACCUUGAGGCAUCCCUGAGGAUGAAAUACAGCAAGCUUCAAAGCCCAAAAAGGUAUAGAUAAGCAGAAUGUCAGCACAUGUGAUGCCAGGGAAAAGAUAUGGUGAGGGGAAAAAGCAGCAGCAAUCAGCCACAAACAGUAAGGCUAAUCAUAAGAGAUUCCCCUAAAGAAUGCAUGGGACUCAGGAGGCCAAGGAGUGAGGAGGACAGUCAAAGCUAAUGCAGAGGCUGCAGAGAAGUUAAAUACUUUACUUCAGUAUUCACCAAGGAGGCCUGUGGGAAAAUGCUUCCUCAAAGGGGGCUCUUAUGGGAAGUCAACACAUCACUAGCAGAGGGAGAACUCUCCCAGGAAGAGGAGAGGAUACAGCACCUUAAGGACCUCAACAGCUCCAAAGGAAAUAUGAAAAAGUCAAAGCACCCAAAUUCUUGAGAACAUUUAACCUCCUGACUCUUCUACACAGAACCCCUGCUCCUGAGGUUGGUACUGCUUAUCUCCUGAACCCCAGGUGAUUCAACAAGUGCAGACGGGGGAGUUUCACUUGAGUACUGGAGACAUGACCACAGAGUAUAACCAAGAGCAGGAUAAGGAAGCAUUAGAAGCCACACAACUCAGUGAAAACAGCCAGCACAGCUCCUAUGAAGAGGAAAUGCUGUCUCUGCUCUGGUCUGUUAAAAUUCUUUGAGAAAAAUACCAAAUGUGGUGACUAAGUGGAUACGAGACGUGACUUUGAACAGCAUUUGGUGGCUCCUUCACAGCAAAUUACUUAGGAGAUAAGGUCCUGCCAUGAAUUAAAAAACAGCUUGUGACAAAGAUGCAUAAAUGUCCGCUUCUUAAAGAGGGACAAAGUGUACCUAGGUGCCAGGGAGCCAAGGUGUAACACCAGUGCAUAUGGACAUACUGAUGACAUGAAGUUGGAGGCUCCAGCCUGCAGAUGAACGCCGCUUUUGGCAGAGACCAUUUAGGAGCCUAAAACAUAUGCGUCUGUCCAAGCCAGUGAGGGUGGAUCAAGAUCCUCACGUGUGUGAUGAGGGUUAGUAGUGUUACUGGAACAUACUGGCUACCUGUUUUUGAUCACACCCCCCUCUCGUGACUGAUGCUUUGUUACCUCAUGCAGCAGUGGUCUGCACUUUGGGUGUGGAAGUUCCCAGGCUCUAUCUCUUGUAUGCCUCAUGCCCAACCAUACAAAAGCAAAUUCAUAUGGAUAUGAUGGACAACCUGGGAAAAAAAGUCAAGCUUCCAACAGGUUACUAAGAACUAGGGAGAGCUAGAUUAAAGAAGGGAUUUGAACAGUUACUAAAACAUACUUGAUUGUCCUUUGUUGCUACAGGAACAGGAGCCUUCCAUUCUCACUCCCCGGGCCUAGUAGCUACAGAGGAAGAGACUGUCUCACUGGAUCUGCCAUGUAAAAUCUUAGUGUGCUUUGGCCUGUGAAUGAACUCCCUUCCACAGCACCCAGAGACUGGCACAGCUUCCCACUUCCAAUGCUCAGCUCAGCACUCACUCCAGCUCGACCUUACAAACUGCCCUGCUCCUGGCCCUGGCCCUGGCCCCUCGUGCCUGCCAGGUGUGAGCUGUCCUGAUGUAACCCUAAGGCAGAUGAAAAGGUGCCUUGACCUUAGAACACAUUCUCAUUACUCAGUGCAUCCUUCCUAUCCUCAGGGCACUUCAGAAACUUGCUUUUUACAUCUAAGUGUUUCUACAGGCAGCAGCUCUUCAAAGAUUGCUGCUGCUUCUCCAGUCACCUGCAGCAUCCAUCUUUUAUCCUGACUGCUCCAACAAUUCUUGCCCUUGUGACUUGUUUUUCAUGGUGACCUUUUCCCCUCCAGGGCUUCAUAUGUUCUUUAAAGUUCAAACCACUGAAAACUGUGGGGGCGGGGGAGUGAGUGUGGAGGAAAGCCAGGGCCUUAGGAGUUUCUGGCUCACCAGCUCUUCAGGGGGGUUUCAAGAUGUCACCCCCCUCUCAUCCUUUCUAGUCAAUUGCCCCAAAGUUCCCUAUUUUUAACCCUUUCCCCACCGUCACACUGGUCACUCUGCAAGACCCCAUGUUCUUCUGGCAGCGGGCAUCUAAGGAUUCUGGAUCUGCCAUACAAUUCUCAGUUCAAGUCACUGUAGUGCUCCUGAAAAGAGCUGGCCCCACAGCCCAUGGGAUAUCACAGUACUCACUGUAUCCAGAAAACAGGUACAACAGGCACAGUGAAGUCCAAGCUUCUCCAUGCUGCCUCAAACCUAGCUGAGAAUCACCACUUCCAGAGCAGGGAAGAGUGUUUAACCACCGUGCCCCAUCAAUCCAAUGAUUUAAUCUAGUGAGACUGCUGCCACAGGGCUUAAUUGGUGCCAACUGUUUUUCUUAUAUGCUGUUGAUGCCUCCCCAGUAGGAGCAGGAGGCGAGACACAUUUCACAAGGGUCACCGGACCGCUAUUGGUCAUUACAGGGCUGACACAGCAGAGGCUUCCCUGAGAAGGGAAAGGCUCCGUGUCUCAUGAUCAAUCUCCUGAGCCAUCCAGUCUUCACACUUAAGUUGCUCUGAAAUGUAUUGAAUCUCAUGUAUCUUACUGAUCCUGAACCCCUGCCUCUUCAGCAGGAAGAAACUCUUUCCUACAUUACGUCCAAGGACUGCAACACACUUUUCCAGGGGAUACAAAGGCCAACAGUUUGUCCUUACUUCUUUGAAAAGGCAAUCUCAGGGGCUAAUUCACUCCUUCCUGUAGGACAAGACUGCAGAAGGGAAAAGCUACUGAGCACAAGGCAGAUAGUAAACUUCAGGAGUUCCUGACUCACCAACUCUUCAGAGGAGGGGUUUGAUGACCCACAAAGCAGCCAUGAAAUGUGACCUUCCAUCCACACUAAUGUGCUGAGAUCUGCAGGGAAAUCCCUUUGAACCUCAGACUGUCUCCACAGCGUCAGCUCUGGCAGCACUGCUCACUCAAGUGCAAUGCCAUUCUCCUCUCUGUUGCUGGCCACUCUCUCCAAAACCUCUGCAGUUUGCAAACAUUGUUUUCACAGUGAUGUGCACUGGGUGUUUACAGUGGGGGAAAAGGGUUAGAUGAUGAUACUUUAGUCCUCUGCAGUUCCAGAUAUACCACUCUGAUUCAGCUAAUACUUCAGCUCCUUGUAGCCCUUCUGAGCCCCACAUCAUCAGGAUGACGUGGCCCUGUGUCCCUUUCAAUGCGAAAAAGAGCUGACAGGCCAGACUAGAACUCAGGCUGUAACACCUGCUCCAGGCUCAUGACUGAACAGAUACCUGAUGCUUCCCCACUUUGGUAACUUGCAUCCGUCUCUGUCAUGGUCCAUUUUCAGCUACUGUUUUUCAGUUAUUUUCACUUUCCUGAUUCUAAGAACUGAAAGUCAGUCCCCAGUUUGGGAGAAGUCAAACCAGAGAUUAAAGGAAAGAAAAAGGAGUCAGAUCUAGUGGCUGAUAGAAAUGCAUUCUGCUGAUGAAAAGCGCUAUAAAAGGGCUAAAAAUCUAACCCACCAGAGCACAUUUGCAAUGCAGAUAUUUCUGGAGGAUAAGGGAAUAUGCCAAACACGACAGUAAAUCCACAAAUGUUUGGCAGAUCAUCUAAAUAUAAACAUUACUGAAACCUAGAAAUAAAUAAAUCUGAAAUUAUUUUUUCUGGGAUCCAUUUGCUGAAGGAAUGCUCAAUAAAUAUCAUCCAAGGAAGGUUGGCGCUUCAGUGAAAUGCUUGAGUCUCACAUCCUCCCCACCUCCCAAUACUGAAAUAAUUCAUUAGGUUCUCUACAGUUCUCCACUUUAAUUUACAAUCUGCUUUUCAGAAGCCAAAGCAGCGACUAGCCUAAGGUGCCAGCAUCCAUUCUGAAUAUGCACUCGAAGGAUUCACUCACCAAUUAACAUUGAUUCUUUCUGGUACUCUUUGCUGAGGUGACAGCGCUGGGUCACACAGGACACGUAUCUCUCCAGAACAUACCAGCACAUUUCAUAGUAGAAAGGAUAACGGAAUUUGGCAUGCACCUGAAAGCAAGAUUGAGACUGUCAAUCCAUGUGGAAGGGAGAGAAGUUCGCAGCAUAAGGGCCAGUCAUCAUUCUCAUCAUGUUAUCAAGAGCACAAACAGUAUGCAGGAGGGGGAGGGGGAAGAGGGUGGGAGCCGAGUGAGAUGUAUGCCUUCAGCAUACGAAAUGAGGAGACUGCCUGCCUGCCUGCCAUGAUAGCAUCGUUUCUUGGUUCACUAAACUGUACCCUCUUGGGGUGAUGGGAGAGGAGGGGGGUUGUGUUCUUGCGAAAUCAUGGAACUGAUGGAUGGCCCCCGGAGGUAUUAUUUACCUACUGUAUAAACAUAGGGUGGUCACAUACAGAUGUUAGUCACCAAAAUUCAAGUUAAAAUAAAGGUGGGCUCUUUUGACUUCCUAAAUAUUAUUCCAUGAUUUGUCAAAACGACAGCAUUACCUACAGAGAGCCAAGCAGGAAACACGCUCCUUGUCAACUGUGGUCUUUACAGUACAACAAUUUGAUUAAAGAAUGGAACACACACAAAGUCGUGAUGAUUGGUAUGUAACGUUCAAACAUUAAAUAAAAAACCCUCCACAUUUCUUCUACCCUGCAAUAGAUUGGUAACCAAUUAACAUUUGCCCUGCACAGAACAGAAAAGCGGGAUUCAACCAAAAGAUCCUGCCAGGAUAACCCCUUCCCCUACGUCUCAGACCUUUUGUUCUCACUGGAAGCUGGAAGCUGAUUCUUUAGUGCUAUGUAUUUGUGAUACUAUUUCACACUUAAAAGGAAAAGAAACUGCUAUCUUCCCCCACCUGACUGUCUCAGUAUGGGAGGUCCCUGUGCUACAGAAUAAACUGGGGAGGUCCUGAAUUGGGGAGUAGGCAUGUACCUAGGCAGAUGUUUUUAAAAAAUGGAUGCCAUUCACAGGUACUUACACCAAACAGCUCUGCCUCCUUGCAGGCGCAGAAUGUGCAUUAUGUGGACUUGAGAAAACCUUGCAUGCAUUCAUUGCCCCAGGAUGACAGGCAUGCUCUGUGCAGUUUAACUCUCAGCUAACCAACAGGUCUAGCACACAUGUCCGCUCACCUUUAACAAAACGUGCAUUUCACCAGAAAAGAUAAUUGUCUCAGGCAGCCCAUUUUUAAAAAACAGGAAUCUAAAAAGAUUGACUAAAUCCAGCAGCUGGAAACUCAAAAUGAAACCUGGCUGAAGGGAACAGGUUUUUACACACCUGUCUGGGGAUCUGAGCAUCCACUUGCAGGAUUUAGAUACCUUGUUAGAAUAGCCACAUUUGAAAAUCAUGCCCAGCACGGAAACAAAAAUAGCCUUGCAUCUGCUCCCAGGAUGGGGGAGACAGAAACACUUUCCACAGAGAAAUAAAAUGUAAUUUAAGACAGAUAAACUGGGCUGCCCCACCAAUUGCACUGCAAGGUAUUGGAUAAAUAAUCCAAAGUAAAUCCAGGAGCUGAGACCUCAUAAACUCAGCACAAAUACAGAUGGUAAAUCUGAACCAGAUGCUGUCACAUACUACUGAGUGAUGUACCCCGUCCUGCUUCAUCAUUCAAACAUCCCCCUAUGGCAUGCGGUAUAAAGCAAUGCACUUAAACAAAACAAAACAAACAAAUCAAAACACAACCUAAAUGUAAGAGCAACAUUCAUCCCCAGGGUGAUGCUAUAUUGGAGAAUCCUUUUUCCUUUUGGCUUGGUUACAUGUCAGAAAGAAAAGAUCAAGUCACUUAUCACUAUUACAGAACACAGGGGAAAUUAGCCAUGCUAAAUAUAUAUGCUAAUAAAGGAACUCAAAUUUUUCCAAGAGAGCACUGCAGGAAACAAAAUUUGCAAAGAAUUGACUUACAAACAGGAAGCCGCCUUCCACCCCUCAGCCUUCAAAAGGUUUUCAGCCACAUGCCUGGGAAUAUUAAAGACAUCAUUGCUCAACAUUUGUUGACAGAUUCUGAGCUUCACCAAAUUUAGUUGUUACCAAUGCUAAUUCAAUGUGAAAGACAAGGCAGUAAUGCAUGCAGUGCUCCCAUUAUGUAUAUCAAUCUUUAAUAUUCAAUUUGAGUUCCUAAUUGCCUCACUAUCAAUGUUCCAACCCACAGCAAACCCCUCCAUGCCUCUGUAACUCACUAUUUGCCUGAGAAGGCUCUGCUUUUACAAACCUUCAGAAGUAAAAGCCACUGUGUGUACAUACUGUGCAAAGAUCUACGGUGCCUUUUUGCUACCCAGUUCAGUCUAAGGUUGACAGUGGCUUAAGAAUCUCUUUAAUGUGCUUGAUGUAAAUGUAAAAAGGAGUACAUCAAUUAUGAUCCUCCAAGAUAGUUAUUAGUUCUAAUGGACGUGAACUGGCUGGCAUAUAUGCCCAUAUUUUUUUUUCAUUGUAUAUCCACAGGUCAAAUGAACUUUUAUUUUAAAAAAAUAAUAAUUCUGAAGCCAAAAAUUAUUUUGACAAAUUUGAAGUUUAAUAUCUCAUAUAUGCUCUGUCAGGAGAUGACACCCCACACCAGCAAAGAGAGAGAGUUGAUCAUUUAAUAGGCAUUUUCCAGCUCUAACUUCUAUGAUUAAUAAUUUACAAUCCACUGAAUGCAUUUUUUUAAUUAUUCCUGUAUAGCAAGAAAAAUCCUCUCUGGAGUAUGAACCUUUCUAGAGUUCAAAGUGAAAUUAUUUGAGAGACUUAUACAAAAAAAGUACAUAUAAGACACAAUCUUCUCUAGAAAUAUUAAUCUCUUGCACUAUGUCCAUAAAAAAGCAUUAUAAAUGCUUCUUGCAUUUCAUCACUGUAAUCACAGUAUUUUUUUUAAAUACUUUUUCAUUAAAUUGAAUGAAAAAAUUCAAAUUGAUCAAUUUUAAAUUUAAACUUUAAGUUCCAGAAAAUAGAAUCAGUAGCAAACACCAUCAUCUGUGAGUGACCACCUUACGUAUAUAUUUUGAAUGCUUUUGUCUUCGAACAUGUUCAAAUACAUUAACAGGGCUAAAUUUAGAUUGACUGAAAA
Long non-coding RNA from Alligator mississippiensis (American alligator), 10771 nucleotides. RefSeq lists it as uncharacterized. The record is from RefSeq and is a predicted model, not a curated record. The transcript has 2 exons. Lineage: Eukaryota; Metazoa; Chordata; Crocodylia; Alligatoridae.